RNAcentral lists this ribosomal RNA (280 nucleotides) under uncultured bacterium. RNAcentral's name for it is "partial 16S ribosomal RNA". It matches the Rfam family "Bacterial small subunit ribosomal RNA", at positions 506 to 784 of the family's 1533-position model. The record is from RNAcentral.
UGCCAGCCGCCGCGGUAAUACGGAGGGUGCAAGCGUUAUCCGGAAUCACUGGGUUUAAAGGGUGCGUAGGCGGCAUUAUAAGUCAGAGGUGAAAGGCCACCGCUUAACGGUGGGACUGCCUUUGAUACUGUAGAGCUUGAAUAAGGUUGAGGUUAGCGGAAUGAGUCAUGUAGCGGUGAAAUGCAUAGAUAUGACUUAGAACACCAAUUGCGAAGGCAGCUGGCUAGACCUUUUAUUGACGCUGAGGCACGAAAGCGUGGGGAGCGAACAGGAUUAGAUA